Molecule: transfer RNA, 83 nt
Filed under: Lachnoanaerobaculum saburreum
Lineage: Bacteria; Bacillati; Bacillota; Clostridia; Lachnospirales; Lachnospiraceae
Also listed under: 16 other names
Description: tRNA-Leu
Rfam family: tRNA
About the family: Transfer RNA (tRNA) molecules are approximately 80 nucleotides in length. Their secondary structure includes four short double-helical elements and three loops (D, anti-codon, and T loops).
Source: RNAcentral
GCCGGUGUGGCGGAAUGGCAGACGCGACAGACUCAAAAUCUGUUAUUCGAAAGGGUGUGCGAGUUCGAGUCUCGCCACCGGCA